GGGCUUGUACUGGUUUCGACGGGGGUUUUGAAGUCAAGGAAGCCAUCCGCGGGCCGGACCGCGUUAAAACCGGAACUUAAAAUUAAACGCUAACGAUAAUACAUUAGCAGUCGCAGCCUGAGUGCUGCGUCCGUCGGCCCGGUUGUACCCGUACUCCCGGUAACCGGCGUCAAAAUUACGGGAAACGAUCAGCGCAAAGCUUUGAGCGCUGAGGCGUAAAAUGAAGCUACCAAACAUGUGAGGAAGUCUCCUGCCGCGCAUGUGAGGGAAUGCAAAAGGGGAGACUGUGAUGGGAGAUGCUUUGAGGGAUAGGCUUUCGGACGCGGGUUCGAUUCCCGCCAGGUCCAU
This 348-nucleotide transfer-messenger RNA is filed under the name bovine gut metagenome. It matches the Rfam family "transfer-messenger RNA". Rfam says of the family: Bacterial tmRNA, also known as 10Sa RNA or SsrA, is named for its dual tRNA and mRNA-like properties. Its role is to liberate the mRNA from a stalled ribosome. To accomplish this part of the tmRNA is used as a reading frame that ends in a translation stop signal. The record is from RNAcentral.